CAUUGACUAGUCCAUGGCUGAAUAGCCGAACUUCAUAGAAUGACAUUUUUGGAACUUAGCCAAGGAAUCAUUUUCUCAAAUUCACGUUUGAACUCCAUUUGGAAAAUUUCAAGCUCCUCUCUGGGAGGUGUUGACUGAUUUCCUCAGGGUGAUGAGCUUCUGAAGAUAGUGGUGCAAUCGCUCGAUGACAAAUGCGAUGAAUAGUGUGUAUCCUGCAAGGAGCGAUAAGCUGUUAGAAAUGUUUAGCUUUGAACUUGAAUAAAAUAUAGGAACUGUGCUGAGUUUAUUUUCAGAUUUCUGCUAGCAUGCAUCAAGACAUUUUAUAUAUGGUUUUUACACUGCCAAUCUAGACUAGAUACUUCCAAAUCCUAAAAAACUUUAUUACAAUAGUCAGGAGUGAACUCAUACAUGUAUAUCUACUAAUAAACACCAACAAGCAAUUACAACAGCAGAGAUAUAAUCUAAAACUCAUGGCAUAUAUCUUUAUAUUCAUCAAGUUGAAAUCAACAAAAUUUAGAAUUUCCAAACACCAAAGGGCAAAAAAUGGUGAAAAUAGUCUCAAGAUUUACGGUCUAUGUCCACCGAGAGUUUUGUUGUUAAUAAUACCAAUCGAAGCUUUUCCAACAAAGCAUUCUCUAAUGCAAAUCUUCCUAGCAACCUCACCCAAUGACAUUUAUGCAUUAGCUCUGGUUUGAUUUGAAACUAAAUUAAAUGAAAUUUGAGAAAAGCUGUUAGGAGGACAGGAAACCAUUUCCCAAACAAGAAAAAUAAACAAGUACAAGCAUGAGUAUAGCAAGAGGAGUUGUUAGCAUGUUUAUCUGAAUGCGUAUGUUUGUUCAAUACACCAUGUGAUGCAAGUACCAACUCUUUUUCUCUCUGAAACAAGCAAGAUUCACACAAACAUCCUGCAUUUCUAGCAUCAGAAGUUACUUGUCAUGAACUGACAGAUUUACACAAGUAGACCAACCAAUGGUGAAAUCUAUUAAUUGUUUUAAGGAAUCAAUAAUUUGGUACCCGCUGGGGAUUCAUGUGUUUCGUUGUACUAAAUUUAAUAACAAAAAUGCAGAUUCAUACAGAAAACAACCCAAAAGAAGUGAUGUCACCGUGUCCCGUUGCAGCUCAGCGUGUGUAGUGUACUUGCACUUACGAUCAACCAUUUUUUUGACUAGAUAUUUCAUGGGAGUCUAGGGUGCUGGCAAGGGUGAUCGGCUUGAGCAUUGCGUCAUCGAACGGCCUUAUGUGGAGGCAGUGAACGGC
RNAcentral lists this long non-coding RNA (1257 nucleotides) under Triticum aestivum (bread wheat). Its description in RNAcentral is "long non-coding RNA (TAES_LNC015876)". The record is from RNAcentral. Lineage: Eukaryota; Viridiplantae; Streptophyta; Magnoliopsida; Poales; Poaceae.